This 267-nucleotide unclassified non-coding RNA is filed under the name Hevea brasiliensis (rubber tree). The record is from RNAcentral. Lineage: Eukaryota; Viridiplantae; Streptophyta; Magnoliopsida; Malpighiales; Euphorbiaceae.
CAACUUCGUCCCCGGCAAGUGAGCGCCGCCGCCGCCGUGCUGCCAUGGCGACGCAUCGCCUUCAGCUAAGCUAGCUAGGUUGACGACGAUGCGCGUCUCUGCAGGAGAGUGUGCGUGUGUGUACGCGGUGCAGUAGAUGUACGUACGUGUACCGUAUAGAUGUACGUAUUCGUGUGGACCGCGUGGAUGGAUGUACGAGUAUUGGAGAGAGGGUGAGAUCUGUACCGGUAGUGUGUAUUUCUGUGCAGGUUCUGAACCUGAUCAAUG